UGAACAAGAGUGAAUGUUUGCUGGGAGAGAGCACUGAGGACCCUGGCCAGGCAAGCUCUGUAAGAAACUCAAAGUACGACGUCCCUCGAGUCUAUGGAUGGAGCAGCACUACCUGCAGGGUCCUGAAUAAAUUCUCAGAGCUACAGCAGAGCUCAGAGGCUCUCUAGUACCAGAAGGACACCAACUGGAGUGAGUCCAGCUGAGGCCAUCAAGGAUGGUGGUCACUCCAGAACUGCUCAUAGACAGAAAGAUUUGGCUACGUUUGCACGGUGCACGGCCACUGCCCGACAGCAUUAGUGGAAACUGCCUUUCCCCGGUGACCUUGCUGCUAAGCUGGAGACUGCCAGGGACUGUCACCUCCAAUGACACUGCUCAGAGGGUCCUUGUCAGAACAAUUACCACUGCACUUCCCUGGUGUGGGUCAUUGGCUGCACUCUGGAGAGCGAAAAGGCAACCAGUCUUACUCCUCACUUAACUAAACCAUGCCGAGAGAGAAAGAAGUGCCUCUCCUCUCUCCUCCCUGCUGUGAUCGGUGGCCGAAGGGCAGGGAACACCUUGGGCAGCAGGUGAGCAGCUGGACGGAGCUCGGGGGGGCCACGCGCUGCACCUCUUCCCCCUUCAGGACCCCGCAGCGUGGGCGAGCCUUAGGAACAACCAGGAGGAACCGUGAUUUAUUCUCCACUUUCAAGUGAUACCGUGAACCUUUUGAAGCAAAGUGAGGUGGUUAUUUUUUUGUUGUUUCCUUUUUUAUUUU
This 754-nucleotide long non-coding RNA is filed under the name Anas platyrhynchos platyrhynchos (common mallard). RNAcentral's name for it is "lncRNA (ENSAPLG00000020338.1)". The record is from RNAcentral. Lineage: Eukaryota; Metazoa; Chordata; Aves; Anseriformes; Anatidae.